AAACGAAGGAAACAAGAAGAUUAAUUCGAUGCAUCGCGAAGAACAUUACCAACUCUUGACAUCCAGAGAACUUUGCAGAGAUGGAUUGGUGCCUUCGGGAACUCUGAGACAGGUGCUGCAUGGCUGUCGUCAACUCGUGUUGUUGUGAAAUGUUGGGUUAAGUCCCGCAACGAGCGCAACCCUUAUCCUUUGUUGCCAGCGGUCCGGCCGGGAACUCAAAGGAGACUGCCAGUGAUAAACUGGAGGAAGGUGGGGAUGACGUCAAGUCAUCAUGGCCCUUACGAGUAGGGCUACACACGUGCUACAAUGGCGCAUACAAAGAGAAGCGACCUCGCGAGAGCAAGCGGACCUCAUAAAGUGCGUCGUAGUCCGGAUUGGAGUCUGCAACUCGACUCCAUGAAGUCGGAAUCGCUAGUAAUCGUGGAUCAGAAUGCCACGGUGAAUACGUUCCCGGGCCUUGUACACACCGCCCGUCACACCAUGGGAGUGGGUUGCAAAAGAAGUAGGUAGCUUAACCUUCGGGAGGGCGCUUACCACUUUUUGUA
RNAcentral lists this ribosomal RNA (545 nucleotides) under Enterobacter sp. RK16. RNAcentral's name for it is "bacterial SSU rRNA". It matches the Rfam family "Bacterial small subunit ribosomal RNA", at positions 927 to 1466 of the family's 1533-position model. The record is from RNAcentral. Lineage: Bacteria; Pseudomonadati; Pseudomonadota; Gammaproteobacteria; Enterobacterales; Enterobacteriaceae.